UACGUAGGGGGCUAGCGUUGUCCGGAUUUAUUGGGCGUAAAGAGCGUGUAGGCGGCCAGGUAGGUCUGCUGUGAAAGCUCGAGGCUCAACCUCGAGACGUCGGCGGAAACCAUCUGGCUAGAGUCCGGAAGAGGAGAGUGGAAUUCCUGGUGUAGCGGUGAAAUGCGCAGAUAUCAGGAAGAACACCCGUGGCGAAGGCGGCUCUCUGGGACGGUACUGACGCUGAGACGCGAAAGCGUGGGGAGCGAACAGG
Molecule: ribosomal RNA, 253 nt
Filed under: uncultured bacterium
Lineage: Bacteria
Description: partial 16S ribosomal RNA
Rfam family: Bacterial small subunit ribosomal RNA
Source: RNAcentral